This 522-nucleotide ribosomal RNA is filed under the name Triticum aestivum (bread wheat). RNAcentral describes it as "partial small subunit ribosomal RNA". Lineage: Eukaryota; Viridiplantae; Streptophyta; Magnoliopsida; Poales; Poaceae. The record is from RNAcentral.
AUGGCCCUGUUAGCUAGUUCCACCCUCAUAGCCAUUACCCUCCUCGUUGUCAUUCCCUCCACUCUCGCCGAUGCCAAAUUCAUCUCCGAAGUAUGCGACGGCAUUAGUGACCGUCCCGACUGCGUGGAGGUGCUCAGCUCCGACCCACAGAGCGUGAAUGCGACCACCAGGGAAGAGCUCCAAAGCAUCUCACUGGACAUCUGCACUGCUGCCGCCAGGGAAGGCGAAAAGACCUGCGAGGAAGAGAAGGCCAAGCACGAGCACGAGCGCGAUGAGAAACUGGGGUUGGCACUGAACAUGUGUAGCAGCGAAUACAACCAAGCCGGCCAUACCCUCGAGAACGCACGCACGGACUUCGGCAACCAUGCUUACAACGAAGCGGCACGAAAGAUUGGCGAGGCUAGCUUAGCCGCAGAUAAUUGCGAGAAGGCGUUUUAUAAUCAGGGGGCGAACAACGUCAUGAAACAAAUGAACAAGAAAAUGUAUGAUCGGUGCGACAUCUGCUGGCAGCUUAUAUUUUGA